GAAAUGCGAUAAUUAAUGUGAAUUGCAGAAUUCAGUGAAUCAUCGAGUCUUUGAACGCACAUUGCGCCCCCUGGUAUUCCGGGGGGCAUGCCUGUCCGAGCGUCAUUGCUGCCCUCAAGCACGGCUUGUGUGUUGGGCUUCCGUCCCUGGCAACGGGGACGGGCCCAAAAGGCAGUGGCGUCACCAUGUCUGGUCCUCGAGCGUAUGGGGCUUUGUCACCCGCUCCCGUAGGUCCAGCUGGCAGCUAGCCUCGCAACCAAUCUUUUUAACCAGGUUGACCUCGGAUCAGGUAUGGAUACCCGCUGAACUUAAGC
This 314-nucleotide unclassified non-coding RNA is filed under the name plant metagenome. RNAcentral describes it as "partial contains 5.8S ribosomal RNA, internal transcribed spacer 2, and large subunit ribosomal RNA". The stretch from base 1 to 105 matches the Rfam family "5.8S ribosomal RNA", at positions 50 to 154 of the family's 154-position model. The record is from RNAcentral.